UCUCAAUGUCCAUCCUUCCAAUCUUCCUUAGAUUUCCCAGCCUCUCUUGCAGUAAAUGUGGUCAUACAGGGGACUGGAAUGCAGACAGGAGCCAGGCCAGCUGUCACAGUGCCCUAGGGAUGAAGGAGUAACAAGAUGGAAGGAAUCCAUGGAACUACCCACUUAUCUUUAGAGAGAGAGUGACAUAUGUGAUUCCAGAGCUACAAAAGUUUGGAAGGUUUCGUUACUUUAGUUUAGCCUAUAUCAAAAUAUGUGUGUGUGUAUCUUUAUAUAAUAACUAUGAUUAUUUCCUCUUCUUAUUAUGUCUGCCUAUAUUUUAACUCUGUAAUUUAACUCCUAUAUUACUACUCAUCUCCUGCGCAAGAUUAAAGCACUGUCCCUCAGCAUGA
Galeopterus variegatus (Sunda flying lemur) is the source of this 389-nucleotide long non-coding RNA. RefSeq lists it as uncharacterized. NCBI's taxonomy places the organism in Eukaryota, Metazoa, Chordata, Mammalia, Dermoptera, Cynocephalidae. The record is from RefSeq and is a predicted model, not a curated record. The transcript has 2 exons.